Long non-coding RNA from Hyla sarda, 443 nucleotides. RefSeq lists it as uncharacterized. NCBI's taxonomy places the organism in Eukaryota, Metazoa, Chordata, Amphibia, Anura, Hylidae. The transcript is spliced from 3 exons. The record is from RefSeq and is a predicted model, not a curated record.
GCUAUUUAUGGGAUAUCUUGUGGAUAUGCCUUACAUUUUGGAGACUAAAAUACCCUUUUCAAAGUGAAUCUCUCCAACAGGUCAUGGGUCCAGCUCUUCUAAUACUUGGCAAUCAACUGAUAUGACUUAGGGAAGAUCAUGGAGACUAUAUCCUGACUCAGUUGGGAAUUGGGAGUAGUGCGUCUCAGAAGUCUAUCUGAUGGCAGAUGAAAGGGUGGCUGAGGCACAGUCUUAGGCAUAACAAGAUUCAAAACAAUAUCCGUAGCAAGGGGAUCGCCAUUAUGGACAGUGAGGUAGUAAUAUUCCAAAAUUCCUUCAGAAUCAGAAAAUGUAAGAAUACCACCUGACAUUCAAAAUAACAAAAAUAAUAAAUACGUUCUCUGAAGAAAAGGAUCCUUCAUUAGAUGACAAUAUGAGUAUUGUGUGUUCCAGUGACAUUAGCU